Molecule: ribosomal RNA, 497 nt
Filed under: uncultured bacterium
Lineage: Bacteria
Description: partial 16S ribosomal RNA
Rfam family: Bacterial small subunit ribosomal RNA
Source: RNAcentral
GAUGAACGCUGGCGGCGUGCCUAAUACAUGCAAGUCGAGCGAACAGACGAGGAGUUUGCUCCGCUGACGUUAGCGGCGGACGGGUGAGUAACACGUGGAUAACCUACCUAUAAGACUGGGAUAACUUCGGGAAACCGGAGCUAAUACCGUAUAAUAUAUUGAACCGCAUGUUUCAAUAGUGAAAGACGGCUUUGCUGUCACUUAUAGAUGGAUCCGCGCCUCAUUAGCUAGUUGGUAAGGUACCGGCUUACCAAGGCAACGAUGCGUAGCAGAACUGCGAGGGUGGUCGGCCACCCUGGAACUGAGACACGGUCCAGAGUCCUACGGGAGGCAGCAGUAGGGCAUCUUGCGCAAUGGGCGGAAACCUGACGGAGCAGCGCCGCGUGUGUGAUGAAGGUCUUCUGAGCGUAAAACUCUGUUAUUAGGAAAGAACAGAUGUGUAAGUAACUAUGCACGUCUUGACGGUACCUAAUCAGGAAGCCACGGCUAACUACGUG